Molecule: long non-coding RNA, 434 nt
Organism: Lycium ferocissimum
Lineage: Eukaryota; Viridiplantae; Streptophyta; Magnoliopsida; Solanales; Solanaceae
Exons: 2
Source: RefSeq, a predicted model, not a curated record
CACACCUUCACAUAUUAUCUUCAAGUACGCUUUUGGCAUUAGAAUAAUUAUUUUGAUAUGGCUUUGAAAGUGGUGACUUUUUUUCUUAUGUUCAUGGCGAUAGCACUUUGUGUUUCGCCAAAGGUUGAAGCAAGAAACGUCAAACUUUGUUGUUUUUGUCACAAAGAUGCAGAUUGUAAGGAUUUUUGUGGUGGAUUUCCUCCGUAUCGUUGUGCAAUGGGUGUAUGUGCUUGCUCAAUACAUGUGUCUCCUAAAAAGCAAAUUGCAAUAACUAAUGAGGGAACAAAUUGAAUAACCAACACUUCAUGGAAAAAAGAAACAAUGAAAAAAUGUUGGGGUUCCGUUUUUUCUCUUAUAAUAACUGAUAUUCAGUAUUUUAUUAUAUGUAAUUUAUAACAAGGCUAAUGCGAGAUAAUAAAAACUUUCUAUUUCUA